Molecule: ribosomal RNA, 460 nt
Filed under: uncultured bacterium
Lineage: Bacteria
Description: partial 16S ribosomal RNA
Rfam family: Bacterial small subunit ribosomal RNA
Source: RNAcentral
CCUACGGGUGGCAGCAGUGAGGAAUAUUGGUCAAUGGGCGGAAGCCUGAACCAGCCAAGUAGCGUGAAGGAUGACUGCCCUACGGGUUGUAAACUGCUUUUAUACGGGAAUAAAGUGACUUACGUGUAGGGUUUUGCAUGUACUGUAUGAAUAAGGACCGGCUAACUCCGUGCCAGCAGCCGCGGUAAUACGGAAGGUCCGGUCGUUAUCCGGCUUUAUUGGGUUUAAAGGGAGCGUAGGCCGUUUGUUAAGCUGGCUGUGACAGUUUGCGGCUAAACCCGGACAUUGCAACAGAGACUGGCAUUCUUGAGUACAGUGGAAGUAGGCGGAAUUCGUGGUGUAGCGGUGAAAUGCUUAGAUAUGACGAAGAACCCCGAUUGCGAAGGCAGCUUACUACAGCGGCACUGACACUGAUGCUCGAAAGUGUGGGUAUCGAACAGGAUUAGAUACCCUUGUAGUC